This 254-nucleotide ribosomal RNA is filed under the name uncultured bacterium. RNAcentral describes it as "partial 16S ribosomal RNA". It matches the Rfam family "Bacterial small subunit ribosomal RNA", at positions 524 to 776 of the family's 1533-position model. The record is from RNAcentral.
CACGUAGGGGCCAAGCGUUGUCCGGAUUUAUUGGGCGUAAAGAGCUCGUAGGCGGUUCGGUAAGUCGGGUGUGAAACCUCCAGGCUCAACCUGGAGACGCCACCCGAUACUGCUGUGACUUGAGUCCGGUAGGGGAGCGUGGAAUUCCUGGUGUAGCGGUGAAAUGCGCAGAUAUCAGGAGGAACACCAGCGGCGAAGGCGGCGCUCUGGGCCGGAACUGACGCUGAGGAGCGAAAGUGUGGGGAGCGAACAGG